GCAACAGCUCAAAUUUGAAAUCUGGCGCAAGCCCGAGUUGUAAUUUGCAGAGGAUGUUUCGGGUGAAGCCACGGUCCAAGUCCCUUGGAACAGGACGUCAUAGAGGGUGAGAACCCCGUACCUGGCCGUCGGUGCCCCCCGCUGUGAAACUCCUUCGACGAGUCGAGUUGUUUGGGAAUGCAGCUCUAAAUUGGUGGUAAAUUCCAUCUAAAGCUAAAUACCGGCCAGAGACCGAUAGCGCACAAGUAGAGUGAUCGAAAGAUGAAAAGCACUUUGAAAAGAGAGUUAAAAAGUACGUGAAAUUGUUGAAAGGGAAGCGCUUGCGGCCAGACUUGCCCGCGGUUGCUCAGCCCGCCUUUUGGCGGGUGCACUCUUCCGCGGUCAGGCCAGCAUCGGUUUGGGCGGUCGGAUAAAGGCGCCGGGAACGUGGCCUCCCCUCGGGGAGGUGUUAUAGCCCGGCGCGCAAUGCGGCCAGCCCGGACCGAGGUUCGCGCUUUGCUAGGAUGCUGGCGUAAUGGCCGUAAGCGGCCCGUCUUGAAACACGGACCAAGGAGUCUAACAUCUAUGCGAGUGUUUGGGUGUCAAACCCGUGCGCGUAAUGAAAGUGAACGGAGGUGGGAACCGCAAGGUGCACCAUCGACCGAUCCUGAUGUCUUCGGAAGGAUUUGAGUAAGAGCAUAGCUGUUGGGACCCGAAAGAUGGUGAACUAUGCGUGAAUAGGGUGAAGCCAGAGGAAACUCUGGUGGAGGCUCGCAGCGGUUCUGACGUGCAAAUCGAUCGUCAA
This 784-nucleotide ribosomal RNA is filed under the name Venturia inaequalis. RNAcentral's name for it is "partial large subunit ribosomal RNA". It matches the Rfam family "Eukaryotic large subunit ribosomal RNA", at positions 101 to 908 of the family's 3401-position model. The record is from RNAcentral. RNAcentral also lists the same sequence under 1 other name. Lineage: Eukaryota; Fungi; Ascomycota; Dothideomycetes; Venturiales; Venturiaceae.